AUUUGAUGAUAUGGAAAUUGAAUAUGUAACUCUCUGAAUCUUUCCCAAGCUUCAUAGAAUUCUUCAGUAUAUUUUUGCUUGAAAGUUUGAAUUCUAUUCCUAAGUUC
RNAcentral lists this small nucleolar RNA (107 nucleotides) under Thalictrum thalictroides. Its description in RNAcentral is "Plant small nucleolar RNA R71". It matches the Rfam family "Plant small nucleolar RNA R71". Rfam says of the family: R71 is a member of the C/D box family of snoRNAs containing the C (UGAUGA) and D (CUGA) box motifs. Multiple nearly identical copies of this snoRNA have been identified in Arabidopsis, and it is thought to function as a 2'-O-ribose methylation guide for 18S ribosomal RNA. The record is from Rfam by way of RNAcentral. Lineage: Eukaryota; Viridiplantae; Streptophyta; Magnoliopsida; Ranunculales; Ranunculaceae.